CAAGGAUGCUGAUUGGUCGCCCGCAGCGUGCGGGAGGAAAGUCCGAGCGCCAUAGAGCAGAGCGCAGGAUAACGUCCUGUGGAGGCGACUCCAAGGAGAGUGCAACAGAGAUAUACCGCCGAGGUUAAAUGAAAAAUUAAUAAUGAAAAAUGAAUAAUUGUUUGUUGAGGAUUGGUGUAAUGAGUAUCCGUUCAGAACCAUCAAUUUUUCAUUGUUAAUUUUUCAUUGUUCAUUUAGCCUUGGUAAGGGUGGAAAGGCGAGGUAAGAGCUCACCCGGGGGCAGGCGACCGUCCCCCGAUGUAAACCCCGCUUGGCGCAAGACUGAAUGGGACAGUGCGCGUGCGUUACGCGCGCGCGAAAGGCUGCUCGCCGCGUCCCGAAAGUCGCUUGAGCGUUUCGGUAACGAUUCGCCCAGAUAGAUGACCGUUCAAUAAUUCUUAAAUGAAUUACGGACAGAACUCGGCUUACAGGCAUCGCUUGACGA
Molecule: RNase P RNA, 484 nt
Filed under: Oscillospiraceae bacterium
Lineage: Bacteria; Bacillati; Bacillota; Clostridia; Eubacteriales; Oscillospiraceae
Description: RNase P RNA component class A
Rfam family: Bacterial RNase P class A
About the family: Ribonuclease P (RNase P) is a ubiquitous endoribonuclease, found in archaea, bacteria and eukarya as well as chloroplasts and mitochondria.
Source: RNAcentral